This 365-nucleotide ribosomal RNA is filed under the name uncultured eukaryote. RNAcentral's name for it is "SSU rRNA". It matches the Rfam family "Eukaryotic small subunit ribosomal RNA", at positions 587 to 972 of the family's 1831-position model. The record is from RNAcentral.
AGCUCCAAUAGCGUAUAUUAUUGAUGUUGCAGUUAAAACGUUCGUAGUCGAACUUUAUCUGCGUACGUGCUGAUGCGUCAAUGACGUGUUAGUGCCAUAAGCAGAGACGAUGCAAGAGUCCAGUAUGUUUCAUGCUGUUCUGUUUGCAUUUUACUUUGAGUGAAUCGGCGUGUUCCACGCAGGCUAUCGCCUUGAACGAUUUACCAUAGCAUAAAUAGAGUAUGAAGGUACCCUUUUGCUUGUUCGGGGGUAUUUACGAUACUGAAAGGAACGGUUGAGGGCAUUCGUAUUCAACUGCUAGAGGUGAAAUUCUUUGAUUAGUUGAGGACGAACCAUUGCGAAAGCAUCUGCCAAGGACGUUUCCU